RNAcentral lists this small nuclear RNA (24 nucleotides) under Arabidopsis thaliana (thale cress). RNAcentral describes it as "snRNA_16968". Lineage: Eukaryota; Viridiplantae; Streptophyta; Magnoliopsida; Brassicales; Brassicaceae. The record is from RNAcentral.
AUCCGCAAUUAGAAUUUUGUGGUU